GAUGAAGAACGCAGCGAAAUGCGAUAAGUAAUGUGAAUUGCAGAAUUCAGUGAAUCAUCGAAUCUUUGAACGCACAUUGCGCCCGCCAGUAUUCUGGCGGGCAUGCCUGUUCGAGCGUCAUUACAACCCUCAGGCCCCCGGGCCUGGCGUUGGGGAUCGGCGGAAGCCCCCUGCGGGCACAACGCCGUCCCCCAAAUACAGUGGCGGUCCCGCCGCAGCUUCCAUUGCGUAGUAGCUAACACCUCGCAACUGGAGAGCGGCGCGGCCACGCCGUAAAACACCCAACUUCUGAAUGUUGACCUCGAAUCAGGUAGGAAUACCCGCUGGACUUAAGCAUAUCAAUAAGCGAGGA
Molecule: unclassified non-coding RNA, 352 nt
Filed under: soil metagenome
Description: partial contains 5.8S ribosomal RNA, internal transcribed spacer 2, and large subunit ribosomal RNA
Rfam family: 5.8S ribosomal RNA (bases 1-120)
Source: RNAcentral